This 289-nucleotide ribosomal RNA is filed under the name uncultured bacterium. RNAcentral describes it as "partial 16S ribosomal RNA". It matches the Rfam family "Bacterial small subunit ribosomal RNA", at positions 333 to 639 of the family's 1533-position model. The record is from RNAcentral.
GAUCGCCUACGGGGGGCAGCAGUGGGGGAUAUUGCACAAUGGGGGAAACCCUGAUGCAGCGACACCGCGUGGGUGAAGAAGCGCUUCGGCGUGUAAAGCCCUAUCAGUGGGGAAGAAAAAGGACGGUACCCAAAGAAGAAGCACCGGCUAAAUACGGGCCAGCAGCCGCGGUAAUACGUAUGGUGCAAGCGUUAUCCGGAAUGAUUGGGCGUAAAGGGUGCGUAGGCGGCCUGCUAAGUCUGGAGUGAAAGGUACCGGCUCAACCGGUACAGGCUCUGGAAACUGGCGG